Triticum urartu is the source of this 1837-nucleotide non-coding RNA. NCBI's taxonomy places the organism in Eukaryota, Viridiplantae, Streptophyta, Magnoliopsida, Poales, Poaceae. The record is from RefSeq and is a predicted model, not a curated record.
CUACUCCCGUACUCCGACCACGCACCAACCGUGUUCUCGAAAAAAAAAAACACACCAACCAUUCACGCAACCAGAUGCGAUCUCGCGUACCUCGCGGCUCCUCCCCCGUCCCCGCCGUCGCCGGCGCCCCGGCCGGCUCCUUCCUUCCUCGCCGCCGCACCCAGCCACUCCUCCCACUCCCCGCCCCCUCGCCGCCGCUUUCUUCUGCGUUGGAGACUUUGCAGCCCCAUGCCCGAGUCCAAGUUCCAAAUUUUAUCCCCUCCUCCGGCACGGCGCCGGCGACCCGGCGGCUCCGGCCUUCCUCUCCGCCGCACGCCUAGCCCCUCCCCUCUUCCUUGCCUCCCCGCCCCCGCUUCCGCCGAUGGCCCCUUAGCAUCACCGCGGAUCCAGCUUCCCCCCCUUCCCCCGGGCCGGCGCCGGCGCCAACGGCGGCCCGCCGAUGGCGCCUUCUCGUCCCCAAAUCCGCCGCUGCAGCCUACACGGGCCACAGCUGAUUAUCCUCAAGGCCAACGGCGUCAAGCUGGUCCAGAUCUGCCAGUGCUGCUCAGGAAUCUCGGGCGGGCGCACAUCCUGACCUGGCGAGCAGGCGACCUGUGGUAGGAUGCACACAUCUGCAACAAGAUUUGGAGCCCCGUUUCCAUGUCUCUUAUAGCAUGAAUCUGAAACAGGAGAAGAUGACGAAAUCGACGAAGCUGUAGAUAUUUGGAACUUGUGGAAAUGUAGCUCUGGGUUGGAUGUCCUUUCUAAUGUUUUUGGGGCCGACAUUCUUUCUACCUUUUGAUUCAGGCUACCAACGAAUUGGAAAGGCCAAGAUGAAGGAGCAAUCAUCAAGCCACCCGCACAUCAGGUGGUGGAAUGCCUACCUGGUGGCUUCCCGCUCAUUCCCAUGAGUCGUCAUGUUCAACCUGUUACUGAGUUGAUCCUGCAAGCCAAUGAAGAUUCAGACGAUGAGGUUGCUCUGGAGGCUUGUGACUCUGGUUUGUGUUCUGUUAACAUGCAGAAUCUGGCUCAGGCAGGUGAUUUCCAGAAGGAGCAGGAAGCUGCUGUAUUGGUGCUAUAGCAGAAGGGGCAUUUUCAGGGUUCGUUGCAAAGCUCCUCCUAGCAAUGGUUGCAGUAUUUGUUCUUGGUAUGGCGAUUUCGAUCCUGUAACACGAGACCCUUUUUUCACAUAUACUAGAUGCGAUUGAUGCCUUGAAGAAGUCAGCUCCCCUUGGAUGGUGCAGCGCAGCAAAUCAAAGUUGAUUCAUUCAUUCUUUGGAGGAAUCAGCUUGUGCUAGCAAUGCUUGGAGGAAUCAGCUUAUUGAGCUGGAUUUGACCUGUUAGACUGCUUCAAUGAACAUGCAUGGUUGUUGCUCCUGCUUGUCUAGAUAGAUGCCUGUGUUGUUUUCUUGUUACGUACCCUUGCACUUUGAUGCUUGAUGAUCCAUGUUCAUUGUUAGAAUGUUUGUUUUGGUCAGGAAAAGCAUGCAGUAGUAGUAUUUGUUUGUAGUAUUUGUUUUGGGUAGUACGUAUAGUAUAAUCUCUCUGUAGACUGUAGCCAUCCAGCUGCAUGACCUGACGGCACUGUGGCACUGUGGCCUGUAGCAGUAGUAGGCUUUUCAGUGUAGCAAACCCCACCCAUGCCCUGCUCUCUUUUCAGUCUAGAGGGUGAGUAGACUAGACUAGUCGAUGGGUCAAAAGCGAGCGGCGCUCCGAUGCCCGUGCGCGUUAGUUACUGCUACUAUCCGUAUUUGUUUACCCCCCACACACUAUUUUUACUACUCCUUGGGUGAAGCCUGUCACGUUAUUUACUGUACUGUACUACUAGUAGGAGUACUUGGGUGAAGUCUUUACUGUU